Molecule: long non-coding RNA, 241 nt
Filed under: Olea europaea (common olive)
Lineage: Eukaryota; Viridiplantae; Streptophyta; Magnoliopsida; Lamiales; Oleaceae
Description: long non-coding RNA (OEUR_LNC010789)
Source: RNAcentral
CGCACUGCUUAUUUCUUUGAAAAUGGGACACAAAAGCCAAAGGAACCUAGCACCAAUAUUGGCUAUGUUCAAUUUUGAAUGUUAUGCUACGAAAUAAAAGAGACGACUUAAUGUUUAAAAUUUCUCUCAAAUAAUACUAAAUUGCACUUUGAGUUCGUCGUAGCUUUUACGAAACUAGUUGGGGCAAGCGAGUUGCUCUAAAAAGAUACAUUUAACAGUAUAGAUAUAAUUAAUUUGGUUA